AAGGUUUAUAGUUUCUUGCUAUAGCCU
This 27-nucleotide ribosomal RNA is filed under the name Backusella recurva. Its description in RNAcentral is "partial 18S ribosomal RNA". Lineage: Eukaryota; Fungi; Mucoromycota; Mucoromycetes; Mucorales; Backusellaceae. The record is from RNAcentral.